Molecule: ribosomal RNA, 1486 nt
Filed under: uncultured organism
Description: SSU rRNA
Rfam family: Bacterial small subunit ribosomal RNA
Source: RNAcentral
GAACGCUGGCGGCGUGCCUAAUACAUGCAAGUCGAACGCUUCUUUCCUCCCGAGUGCUUGCACUCGAUUGGAAAGAGGAGUGGGGGACGGGUGAGUAACACGUGGGUAACCUACCCAUCAGAGGGGGAUAACACUUGGAAACAGGUGCUAAUACCGCAUAACAGUUUAUGCCGCAUGGCAUAAGAGUGAAAGGCGCUUUCGGGUGUCGCUGAUGGAUGGACCCGCGGUGCAUUAGCUAGUUGGUGAGGUAACGGCUCACCAAGGCCACGAUGCAUAGCCGACCUGAGAGGGUGAUCGGCCACACUGGCACUGAUCACACGGCCCAGACUCCUACGGGAGGCAGCAGUAGGGAAUCUUCGGCAAUGGACGAAAGUCUGACCGAGCAACGCCGCGUGAGUGAAGAAGGUUUUCGGAUCGUAAAACUCUGUUGUAAGAGAAGAACAAGGACGUUAGUAACUGAACGUCCCCUGACGGUAUCUAACCAAAAAGCCACGGCUAACUACGUGCCAGCAGCCGCGGUAAUACGUAUGUGGCAAGCGUUGUCCGGAUUUAUUGGUCGUAAAGCGAGCGCAGGCGGUUUCUUAAGUCUGAUGUGAAAGCCCCCGGCUCAACCGGAGAGGGUCAUUGGAAAACUGGCAGACUUGAGUGCAGAAGAGGAGAGUGGAAUUCCAUGUGUAGCGGUGAAAUGCGUAGAUAUAUGGAGGAACACCAGUGGCGAAGGGCGGCUCUCUGGUCUGUAACUGACGCUGAGGCUCGAAAGCGUGGGGAGCAAACAGGAUUAGAUACCCUGGUAGUCCACGCCGUAAACGAUGAGUGCUAAGUGUUGGAGGGUUUCCGCCCUUCAGUGCUGCAGCAAACGCAUUAAGCACUCCGCCUGGGGAGUACGACCGCAAGGUUGAAACUCAAAGGAAUUGACGGGGGCCCGCACAAGCGGUGGAGCAUGUGGUUUAAUUCGAAGCAACGCGAAGAACCUUACCAGGUCUUGACAUCCUUUGACCACUCUAGAGAUAGAGCUUUCCCUUCGGGGACAAAGUGACAGGUGGUGCAUGGUUGUCGUCAGCUCGUGUCGUGAGAUGUUGGGUUAAGUCCCGCAACGAGCGCAACCCUUAUUGUUAGUUGCCAUCAUUUAGUUGGGCACUCUAGCGAGACUGCCGGUGACAAACCGGAGGAAGGUGGGGAUGACGUCAAAUCAUCAUGCCCCUUAUGACCUGGGCUACACACGUGCUACAAUGGGAAGUACAACGAGUCGCUAGACCGCGAGGUCAUGCAAAUCUCUUAAAGCUUCUCUCAGUUCGGAUUGCAGGCUGCAACUCGCCUGCAUGAAGCCGGAAUCGCUAGUAAUCGCGGAUCAGCACGCCGCGGUGAAUACGUUCCCGGGCCUUGUACACACCGCCCGUCACACCACGAGAGUUUGUAACACCCGAAGUCGGUGAGGUAACCUUUUUGGAGCCAGCCGCCUAAGGUGGGAUAGAUGAUUGGGGUGAAG